AACGAACGCUGGCGGCAUGCCUAACACAUGCAAGUCGAACGAGACCUUCGGGUCUAGUGGCGCACGGGUGCGUAACGCGUGGGAAUCUGCCCUUAGGUACGGAAUAACUCAGGGAAACUUGAGCUAAUACCGUAUAAUGACUCCGGUCCAAAGAUUUAUCGCCUAAGGAUGAGCCCGCGUAGGAUUAGCUAGUUGGUGAGGUAAAAGCUCACCAAGGCGACGAUCCUUAGCUGGCUGAGAGGAUGAUCAGCCACACUGGGACUGAGACACGGCCCAGACUCCUACGGGAGGCAGCAGU
This 298-nucleotide ribosomal RNA is filed under the name uncultured bacterium. RNAcentral's name for it is "partial 16S ribosomal RNA". It matches the Rfam family "Bacterial small subunit ribosomal RNA", at positions 29 to 355 of the family's 1533-position model. The record is from RNAcentral.